CAGGCCUAACACAUGCAAGUCCAACGAGUGCCUUCGGCUGCUAGUGGCGCACGGGUGCGUAACGCGUGGGAAUCUGCCCUUUGGUCUGGGAUAACCGUUGGAAACGACGGCUAAUACCGGAUGAUGACGUAAGUCCAAAGAUUUAUCGCCAGAGGAUGAGCCCGCGUAGGAUUAGCUAGUUGGUGGGGUAAAGGCCUACCAAGGCGACGAUCCCUAGCUGGUCUGAGAGGAUGAUCAGCCACACUGGGACUGAGACACGGCCCAGACUCCUACGGGAGGCAGCAGUGGGGAAUAUUGGACAAUGGGCGCAAGCCUGAUCCAGCAAUGCCGCGUGAGUGAUGAAGGCCUUAGGGUUGUAAAGCUUUUUUACCCGGGAUGAUAAUGACAGUACCGGGAGAAUAAGCUCCGGCUAACUCCGUGCCAGCAGCCGCGGUAAU
This 437-nucleotide ribosomal RNA is filed under the name uncultured bacterium. Its description in RNAcentral is "bacterial SSU rRNA". It matches the Rfam family "Bacterial small subunit ribosomal RNA", at positions 43 to 524 of the family's 1533-position model. The record is from RNAcentral.